UGGUAGGCUUCCUGCUGCUUCAUCUUCUAAAGCCAUAGGAGUUGGGGCUGAACCUGGCUUAGCAGGAUUCCAGGAUUCCUUGACCCCAGGCUCCCAGCUCCCAGCUCUUAGCCUCCCUCUAGCUCACUAGUUCCGGGAUUUAUGAUCCACUGCUGCUUAAAGUUUGUCCCACUCUGGAAGCUUCUAAAGAAGGGACUUCUGGCUACAGUAAACAAGAACGGAAUGGUAAAGAGUACUAUUGAGCCUCUACUGCCACCAUAGCUAGCAGUGGCUAAGAAUAUUAAUAUUCAUUGUCUCCUCUAAUAUUCACAGCACUGUGAGAGAAAUAUUCUCCCAGCAUUCUAGACAAGGAGCCUAAUGCUCAGUCACUUGUGUGGCAGCAUCGAAAAUACUCAGUAAUCUCCAUAGAAAGCAAGGUCUUCAUCUCCUGUGAGUUUUGGCGAGUGGAGUCUCCCAUCUCAGAAACUAAAUCUGGUCAACUGAUGUUGAAAUGACUAAAGAUAUGAAAAGGAACACAGAAAUCACAGAUUCUGAACAUAAUUCAAUGUUGAACGAUUCAAUUAAAUUUGAUUCAAACGUUUGGACUACAUGGCCCCCAUUUGACAAUGGAAGACUGGGACAAAAGACAUGCAGCAGAUCCUGAUGGAGCAACCUCAAGUGCCGGCCAAGCCCCUCCUGCUCCUCCUCUGCAUUAGGAAUUCUGCAAAUGAGUGAUGGUUCACAGGGGGCUCGAUCACAGAAAAGCAGUUGUUGAUCUUUGGCUGCCUGCAGGCCUGCAAUCUGUGCUACAAGUUUAUCCCUCCCAGAAAAAGCAAAAUAAAGAAGGACGAGACAAGAGGAUGGAACCAAUACAAGCAUCUGUAACAAGCUAAUUGGACCCUUGUGGGCCACCAGCAAGCACGAAACUAAAACAAACAGAGCCUCACAUUGUGCACCUUCAGGACCAGAUCCAUCCUGGGUCUGUCAGCUUUUCCCCUGCCUCCUCCCCUGACCCCCAUUUUUAAAGGACCUAAUUAUGGCUCUUUCCAAAGGAUCACAAGCCAGUUUUCAUCUAAAAAGAAUAAGGUAUUAUGCCUCCGAACUGGAGACACUGUUAGAAGUUGGUAAUUAGUAUGACUUGUUAAUAGAGUUUGGCUGUGAUUAAGCAGUGAUUGAGCGCGAGUUUGGUGCCUGUCAGUGGGGAAGCCUGAGGAGGGUGAGAGAUGUUUAAUGAGACACCUGUUGUUGGGGGUCCACUGGGGUUUGUUGCAGCUGAUUGGCACUUGGAUGCAGUGCGCUCGGUGCUGGGGGCUGGGCUGAGCCUGGCAGGUGGUUGGCACCAGAGCGGAGCUCGCCGCUCCCAGCAAGUCAGGGCUGGCUGAGUUUUCCGAGCUGUCUGUCCACGGCUGCAGCCACAUGUUCCCACAUGAUCUAGGUGGUGGGCUGACUGACUGUGCGCCAACCCCCAGCGGGCACUGCCCCUACUCUGCAAGAGGAAGAUCUCCAGGUCCCCCGUGACCCUCGCUCCCAACCAAGCACCGGGCGGGGCAUUGGGCACUCCUCCUCUCAUCCAGCCUCUCCUGUCCCCAGUGUAUAGCUGGGGAAACUGAGGCAAGGGAGGUUAAAUAGUUUGCCUAAGCUCACAGCCACCUCCAGGGCCCGAUGCACUGUAUGCAGAGCCAGCACCUCUCAAACCUUAAAAUGAUCCCUGGGGAGUGUGUUAAAACGCAGAGUCUGAGAGAGUAGGUCUUGGGUGGGGCUGGAGAGACCACCUUCCUAAGAGCUUCCCGGCAGUGCCCAUACUUUGAAUGAAGUCGGCAGGGUACUUCCUUGUACUAGAGUCACACAGAACCCCCUAAGAGAGAGAUGCUUAUCGUGCAUUUCAAUUUUAUGACUAGACCACAUCUUGCCUUUUGGAAGGGACAUACAUAGUAGUAAUAUACCUCAUCUUUGCCCAGAAACAGAGCCUGAUGCUAGAGAUGUUGGGGAACUCUCUAUCUAAGGGUGUAGUGUGUGGUGGAUGGGGCAAGUGG
Molecule: long non-coding RNA, 2012 nt
Filed under: Equus caballus (horse)
Lineage: Eukaryota; Metazoa; Chordata; Mammalia; Perissodactyla; Equidae
Description: lncRNA (ENSECAG00000052998.1)
Source: RNAcentral